UAAGACAAUUUGCUGAAGACAAGUACUUUGC
Molecule: non-coding RNA, 31 nt
Filed under: Mus musculus (house mouse)
Lineage: Eukaryota; Metazoa; Chordata; Mammalia; Rodentia; Muridae
Also listed under: 1 other name
Source: RNAcentral